Molecule: transfer RNA, 76 nt
Filed under: Candidatus Saccharibacteria bacterium RIFCSPHIGHO2_12_FULL_47_16b
Lineage: Bacteria; Candidatus Saccharimonadota
Description: tRNA-Val
Rfam family: tRNA
About the family: Transfer RNA (tRNA) molecules are approximately 80 nucleotides in length. Their secondary structure includes four short double-helical elements and three loops (D, anti-codon, and T loops).
Source: RNAcentral
GGGUAAUUAGCUCAACGGCUAGAGCGCUUGAUUCACAUUCAAGAGGUUGUAGGUUCGAAUCCUGCAUUACCCACCA